UAUAUAUAUAUAUAUAUAUAUAUAUAUAUAGUAAUACUAUAUGGUGUCCUGGGUAGCCCUCUCCCACCGAGCUGCUCGCACCGCGUUCCGCUGGUUUUUUCUUUCGGUUUUUUUGGCUCGUUUUUUCUUAGUCGAUCCCACGUUUCCGAACUAAUCUAGAUCGUGUCUCCUCGGUCCGUUCAGUUCCUGGCAUUGCCGGUUCCAUAGUCGCCGCCCUCGCUCUGCCAACCGCGGCAGCGAUGUGCCGACCCCGGCCGCGACUCAUCGCUGCCGGCGCAAGGUGCCACUCAUGCCCUCGGCCACCCGAUUCCAGCACCCCAACGCCGCUAGCUUGCAAGUUGUUCUCAGUUCAUCCGCACAUCGUCAUCUUCAAUCCAGCAUUGGAAGGACUCCGUUGCCUGAAGAACAAAGCUGCUGCAGAUUUCGUUGGUCUUCGCCAUCGGUGAGCCCCGCCUCCAUUUGAAUUCUGAGUUCGCUGAUUCCCAGCAAGAGAUGAUCCUGAUUUGAUCUCCUCCGCACCUUCCAAUGGAGUCGCCUUCUUUAUCCGUGGCCAGCCGUCGUAUGUUUCCUGCCUGUGGCUGAGCUCGCGCGCGUCAGCAGAUCACUCCUCCAAGCCUUCCUCCUCCCGCUGUCCGUCUCAAACACCUUGCUGGUCGAGUAUCUGCUCGACAAUCUCCCCGCAGAUGCUCAUCUCGAGAUCAGCAUCUUAUCCAUCGAUCUCACCCACCCAUUCCUCUCCAGGUUCGGCAGUCGGCACCAAGAUUCUGUGGUGGCAUCAAUAGACGCGCAUGUGGAAUUUCAGUUACAGCUGGACUGCAGGAGCUUGGUCAAGUUGCUGACAUAUGACGUGAAGGUCAUGGCAGCAACCAGUGGUCAGCAUGGUUGCAGCAGGUUAUCGUGAUGGGCGACCCAACCGCACAGGCAUAAUAUUUAUUUGGGUGCACAUGUGCUGCUGCAUCUUAGAUGUAAGUACUCGUGCCUGAUGGAGGAUAUGAGUAAUGUCUGACGAACUUCCUGCAGUAACCUGCAAGACCCAAGAAGCUCCUCAAUUCUUUGGCAUUAGUUGGUUGUGGCCAAUUUGUAAUGGAGGUGAUCUGUCUCUGGCCAAAAGAACACUUGGAUAGUUUAACUUGCCAUUGGUCAGCAGCCAGCAAUUGGAGUACAGCUCUGAGGUGGGCAAGAUGCUCUUCGAAGGUUUUGCUGUAUACUAAGAUGUCAUCGAAGAAGACCAGAACACAUUUCCUGAGCAAUGGCUUGAGAGUCGAGUUCAUAGCGCCUUGGAAAGAAGCAGGAGCCCCACAUAAUCCAAAUGACAUCACCAUGAAUUCAAAAUGACCAAAGUGAGUUUGGAAGGCUGUUUUGAAUUCCUCUCCAGAUUUCAUUCGGAUUUGGUGAAAGCUAGAAUUAAGGUCCAGGGAAGAAAACCAACUUGCUCCAGACAGCUCAUCAACAAGUUCAUCAAAAAUAGGAAUGGGAAAUUGACCACGAAUUGUGAGUGUCGACACAUGGUCGCCAGGAACCAUCCUUUUUCUUGACUAGCAACAGUGGGGAAGAAAAGGGGCUAGUAAUGGGUCUAAUAAUUCCCUUGUCGAGCAUCUCUUGAAUUUGCUUUUCAAUUUCAUCUUUAAGGGCUGGUGGAUAGCGGUAUGGCCGAAUAAAAACAGGUUUUGCUCCAGGCACCAGAGGGAUGAAAUGAUCAAAUAGUCUAGGCGGUGGCAAGCCAUCUAUAGGGGCAAAGACUGCAGCAAACUCUGAAAGGAGGGCAGCAAUUUGUGGGGGGAGGUCUUGCCCAUUGGGAUCUGGUUGGUGAGAAGAAUCAAUGGGACAAACUUGAACCAUGAGGGUAUUUGGAUCAGAAGAGAGACCAUGCAGAACUGCUGAAGACCCAUGGUAAGGUAUGGACAUCCAUUUGAGUUUCUAGUGCACUUUCAUUGGGCUGAACUUCUCAAGCCAAUCCAUUCCUAAUAUAAGAUCAUAGUGGUCCAAGGGAAUAAUCUUGAUGUCAGAAACAAACUGAACUCCUGAAUAAACCAUGUCCCAUUUGGGAUAUGGGCCACACAUUGUAAGACAGCACCAUUAGCAACCUGAACCCGAACAGAGUCAGACAAGGGAACCACCCAUCCAGUUUGUGAGUAAUGUGGUGACUGAGGAAAGUAUGGGAGCUGCCUGAGUCAACUAAAAUUUUCAGAGGUAUAUUCUGGAUUGAUCCUUCCAAUUGCAUGGUGCGAGGGCCCUCGGUACCAGCUGAUGUAUCUUUGGAGAGUGCUAGAAAGAGCUGUUCCUAAAAAUGAUGAUCAGAACCAGCAUAAUUGACACUGUCAGGUCCCUGGGUGACUUUUGAAUGGCGUUGAGCUGUACAGUAGCUGAACACUUGUGGCCAUGGUGCCAUUUUCGGCACAUUUGUCACACAGUCCUCGAGCCCGCCGAUAAGCUCGAAGGGAAGCAAACUUGUCCAACUAAGACUUGUUGAAAUCUGUAGGAUGAGAGGCUGCAAUAGUAUUGGAAGGAGACAUCACAGCCUUGUCAAGACGGGGAGGGGUUGGCAGAGGUAAUGGUCCCCUUGGCGGAGGUCUUGGAGGAAAUCCCGGUUCGAGACGACGCCAAUCCCGUCGUUUGUAAGGAUCCGCCACUUCUUCCUGCAGCAAAGCAAGAGUGCAAUCAGUAUCGAGAGUGGAAGGAUGCUGAACUAGAACAGUGGAGCGAAUAUCAUCAUGUAAGCCAUCAAUAAAAUGAGUGAUGUAAUAUAGUUGAUCAAUAAAGUGGCCAUAAGCUAUGAGCUGAUCUAUUAAUUCAGUAAACUUGGCAACAUAUUCAGCAACGGUGCCAGUUUGCUUGAUGUGAAACAAUUGUCGGAUUAGGAGCUCUUGUUGGUCUCGCCCAAAUCUAUCAAUUAA
Long non-coding RNA from Setaria italica (foxtail millet), 2894 nucleotides. RefSeq lists it as uncharacterized. Lineage: Eukaryota; Viridiplantae; Streptophyta; Magnoliopsida; Poales; Poaceae. The transcript has 3 exons. The record is from RefSeq and is a predicted model, not a curated record.